GCUUGUCUCAAAGAUUAAGCCAUGCAUGUCUAAGUAUAAAUAAUUCUAUACUGUGAAACUGCGAAUGGCUCAUUAUAUCAGUUAUAGUUUAUUUGAUAGUCCCUUACUACUUGGAUAACCGUAGUAACUCUAGAGCUAAUACAUGCGCAAAUUCCCGACUGUCGCAAGGCGGAAAGGAUGUAUUUAUUAGAUCCAACCAGCCCGGUUCGCCGGAGUCCCUGGUGAGUCAUGAUAACCGAGCGAAUGGCAUGGCAUCAGCUGGCGAUGUACCAUUCAAGUUUCUGACCUAUCAGCUUCCGACGGUAGGGUAUUGGCCUACCGUGGCAAUGACGGGUAGCGGAGAAUUAGGGUUCGAUUCCGGAGAGGGAGCCUGAGAAACGGCUACCACAUCUAAGGAAGGCAGCAGG
RNAcentral lists this ribosomal RNA (407 nucleotides) under uncultured Bicosoecida. RNAcentral's name for it is "partial small subunit ribosomal RNA". It matches the Rfam family "Eukaryotic small subunit ribosomal RNA", at positions 30 to 432 of the family's 1831-position model. Lineage: Eukaryota; Bigyra; Bicosoecida. The record is from RNAcentral.